Molecule: ribosomal RNA, 292 nt
Filed under: uncultured bacterium
Lineage: Bacteria
Description: partial 16S ribosomal RNA
Rfam family: Bacterial small subunit ribosomal RNA
Source: RNAcentral
GUGCCAGCCGCCGCGGUAAUACAGAGGGUGCAAGCGUUGUUCGGAAUUAUUGGGCGUAAAGCGCGUGUAGGCGGCUUAGCAAGUUGGGUGUGAAAGCCCUCGGCUUAACCGAGGAAGUGCGCCCAAAACUACUUGGCUUGAGUACCGGAGAGGGUGGCGGAAUUCCCGGUGUAGAGGUGAAAUUCGUAGAUAUCGGGAGGAACACCAGUGGCGAAGGCGGCCACCUGGACGGUCACUGACGCUGAGACGCGAAAGCGUGGGGAGCAAACAGGAUUAGAAACCCCUGUAGUCC